AUUUUUGAUACAAAAAAUGUUGUGAAAUCAUCAUUUGAAGAUGUAUCGUAUUAUAAUUAUGGCAAUAUAUUUAAUUUUAUCGACAAAUAAAAUGUGUCAAACUAGGGCAUACAUGAUUAAGGAAAGAUAAGCUGUCAUGUGUUUGAACUUCAGAGAGGAUAAUGUUAUGAAAAAAAUUAUGGUUAUUUUCGGUACGAGACCCGAAGCAAUAAAAAUGGCACCAUUAGUAAAAGAAAUUGAUCAUAAUGGGAACUUUGAAGCGAACAUUGU
This 270-nucleotide small RNA is filed under the name Staphylococcus aureus. RNAcentral describes it as "HMPRNC0000_0165". The record is from RNAcentral. Lineage: Bacteria; Bacillati; Bacillota; Bacilli; Caryophanales; Staphylococcaceae.